AUUGAACGCUGGCGGCAGGCCUAACACAUGCGAGUCGAGCGGAUGAAGGGAGCUUGCUCCUGGAUUCAGCGGCGGACGGGUGAGUAAUGCCUAGGAAUCUGCCUGGUAGUGGGGGAUAACGUCCGGAAACGGGCGCUAAUACCGCAUACGUCCUGAGGGAGAAAGUGGGGGAUCUUCGGACCUCACGCUAUCAGAUGAGCCUAGGUCGGAUUAGCUAGUUGGUGGGGUAAAGGCCUACCAAGGCGACGAUCCGUAACUGGUCUGAGAAGAUGAUCAGUCACACUGGAACUGAGACACGGUCCAGACUCCUACGGGAGGCAGCAGUGGGGAAUAUUGGACAAUGGGCGAAAGCCUGAUCCAGCCAUGCCGCGUGUGUGAAGAAGGUCUUCGGAUUGUAAAGCACUUUAAGUUGGGAGGAAGGGCAGUAAGUUAAUACCUUGCUGUUUUGACGUUACCAACAGAAUAAGCACCGGCUAACUUCGUG
RNAcentral lists this ribosomal RNA (484 nucleotides) under uncultured bacterium. RNAcentral describes it as "partial 16S ribosomal RNA". It matches the Rfam family "Bacterial small subunit ribosomal RNA", at positions 30 to 507 of the family's 1533-position model. The record is from RNAcentral.